This 183-nucleotide ribosomal RNA is filed under the name uncultured eukaryote. RNAcentral describes it as "partial 18S ribosomal RNA". It matches the Rfam family "Eukaryotic small subunit ribosomal RNA", at positions 1299 to 1458 of the family's 1831-position model. The record is from RNAcentral.
UCGUGGAGUGAUCUCUCUGCUUAAUUGCGAUAACGAACGAGAUCUCUGCAGCUAACUACGCGCUGGCCUCGCAUGCAAGUAGGGGUGUGUCUGGGUCUUAGUGCCCAUGCACACCCUGAGAGGCCGGAUGCUUCUUAGCUGGACUGCGCAUGAUUUAAUGCACGGAAGAAGGAGUCAAUAGCA